GCUGAAAAGUGGAAUCGGAGCUGUUGUAUUGCCUGGGGUGUCUACUGCAGAUAUUUCAUCAAAUAAGGAUGAUGAAGAAAACUCUAUGCACACUACGGUUGUGUUGUUUUCCAGCAGUGACAAAUUCACUUUGAAUCAGGAUAUGUGUGUAGUUUGUGGCAGUUUUGGCCAAGGAGCAGAAGGAAGAUUACUUGCCUGUUCUCAGUGUGGUCAGUGU
This is a long non-coding RNA of Gorilla gorilla gorilla (western lowland gorilla), 217 nucleotides long. RefSeq lists it as uncharacterized. The record is from RefSeq and is a predicted model, not a curated record. The transcript is spliced from 3 exons. Lineage: Eukaryota; Metazoa; Chordata; Mammalia; Primates; Hominidae.